AAUAUUGAAACUGACCAGCCCAUUUAAUUUAGGAAAUAGGAUGAAAUGGAUGGCCAGCUCCUCAGUGCCCGUACUCACAAAUGGAUUCAGAGUCCAGGAAGGAGGUACUGGCCUCGGCUGCUUAUCCUCUGAGGCAGCCACAGUACCUGUGUGAGGGGAUACAGGAUCUCAGAUUUGUUUUGUCUUCUUAGAUUACCAACAGAAACUCUUAAGCACUCAGUGAUGUGCUGAAUUAUCUGAAAAAUAACAUAGAUUGAGAGUGAACUGUCCUUUGCAUUAGUUAGGGCUCAAGGCAAAUGUGGUGCUGUGGUUUCCUCUUCUAUCACAGUAAAUGCUGAUCAAAUUUAAGAGAAGGAGCAGGCAGUUUCCAAUAGAGAGAAAAGGGUUUUUCUUUCUAUCAUUGGAUUUUGUGAUAAUUAGCACUUCAUAUUGUAUUACAGUGAUGGUGUCAGACCAACAGCCAAACAGAAUUAAUGAGUUAAAUAUCUGUCAGCAAGAAGCUUCAGGUCUGAUUAAAGGUGAAGAAAUGCAACAUCCAGUAGAACUACCCACCCUCUAUUCUAACAGCUAAUAUUUAUCUAACACCUUCACUGAGCACAGAUUAAGAAGAAAGACUAUCAUCAGAAGGAGGAAAUACCACCCCUACCAAAAAGGAGGUUUGAGUGAAGUUACAGUUAUAAAGAAAAAUGCGAGAGGAAAUAGAUUAAAAAAAACCCUAAAAACAGAAGAGAGAAAUAAUGCUAUGGCACAAUGUAAUAUCAGAGCUGUCACAAUGCAUUAUAUAGUUGAUUGUCAAAUGAGUGGCAGAGAUAGAAACUGCUAUUAGUUUAGAAAAGAAAGAGAAAAUUGUGGUCUAAAGUGGUCUGAGAAGAUUGAAGUAGAGAAGAGAGUUGACCUUAGUCAGGAGUGAUGAGCAAGAUUUGGAUACAACAAGAAGGUCGGUAGGACACGACAGGGCACUUCAGAUAGGGACUGGGAAAGAAACAUCUGAGGGAUGCAAGCACCAGUUCUGUUUGGGAGGCGAAGAGCCAUCCAGUCAGGUUGGAGAGGAGGGCUGACACAAUAG
Molecule: long non-coding RNA, 1066 nt
Filed under: Vulpes vulpes (red fox)
Lineage: Eukaryota; Metazoa; Chordata; Mammalia; Carnivora; Canidae
Description: lncRNA (ENSVVUG00000027729.1)
Source: RNAcentral